This 1322-nucleotide long non-coding RNA is filed under the name Olea europaea subsp. europaea. The record is from RNAcentral. Lineage: Eukaryota; Viridiplantae; Streptophyta; Magnoliopsida; Lamiales; Oleaceae.
CCUUCCUCCCUCCUCCGGUGGUUAUAAGUCAUGUGGUGUGUUUGUGCUUUUACAAUUUAAAAUAAAAAUGAAAAUGGCGUCGUCGCUUCAAUAGUAAACGAUCUCGUUCUCUUAAUUGAAUUUCUGGUGGUUUCACUGGCUUCUGCUGUCCUUCCUUCCCCAAUCUGUAGUGAUACAUGGUUCCAGCUUCUUGCUAUCACUCAUUACUUCUCGUAUCACCAUCUUCUCUUUUGAGGAGGGUAACCCUUCAAUAAAAUCCAUGGAUAUAUGACUCCAUGAGUAUUGUGGUUCCGACAAUGGUUGUAGCAGUCUAGGAUAGGGGACAUGUUCGCCUUUGCAUCUUUAGGAUUUAUCACAACGAAAUACUUCUCGUUUGAUCUUUUUAGUCAUUCCCGGCCAAAAGAAGUAUUGCUUAGCUCUAUACACACUAGCUUGGAUGAUUGAAUGACCUCCAUUUUGAGAGGAAUGGAUAUUUUGUAUUAGCUUUGUUCCAAUCUGGCCUCCUGACCCAACAUAUAACUUUCCGUUAUACUUAAGCAAUCCAUUCUUAUAAGUGAAAGUCAGAGUCUUCCCUAAAGUUUAUCAAAGUUGCCUCAAUUUGCUGUUCAGCUUUCUCAUCUCACUUGUAGCUUUCCACCACCUAUUGUAUCUAGAUAGGUAUGAAUUGUGAUAUGGCUGCUGCAUCUCGAUUUGUCUCCUCUCUUCUUGAUAGUGCAUCAGCUACAAUGUUAUCAGUUCAUUUCUUAUAUUGCAAUUCAUAACUAAGCCUAAGUAACUUAGUUAGCCAUUUUUGCUGGAGAUGAGUAGUGAUCCUUUGCUCUAGUAAAUAGUUGAAGGACUGAUGAUCUGUUUUAAUCCCAAAAUGAUACCCCUCCAAGUAAUGUCUCCAUUUCUCUACUGCUGUAACUAGAGCUAGUGGUUCUUUUUCAUCUAUGGACAUUCCCAACUUCUCAUUUCAAAUGGCUUUACUCAUGUAAGCAAUUGGCCUCGUGCCUUGCAAUAAAACUACUCCCAUCUCCCCAUGACAAGCAUUAAUCUCCACAAUAAAAGGCUGGUUAAAAUCCGGUAGGGCUAUUACUGGUGUGUUACACAUUGAUGCCUUCAAAUUUUGAAAUGUUAUUCCUGCAACAUAAUCCCAACUGAAACAAUCCCUUUUGAGGAGGUUAUUUAGGGGUUUGCUAGGAUCUCAUAACCCUUAACAAAUUUUCUAUAGUACCUUGUCAAACCAAGGAAAUCCCCUUAAUUGUUUCACAUUACUUAUCCUAGGCCAUUGUUGAAUAGCACUCACCUUUAGAGGGUCUGUUGAUACCCCUAUUGUUGAC